Molecule: ribosomal RNA, 325 nt
Filed under: uncultured eukaryote
Lineage: Eukaryota
Description: partial 18S ribosomal RNA
Rfam family: Eukaryotic small subunit ribosomal RNA
Source: RNAcentral
CCCUUAGACGUUCUGGGCCGCACGCGCGCUACACUGACCAGUGCAACAAGCAUCCGUCCUUGGCCGACAGGCCCGGGCAAUCUUUGAACGCUGGUCGUGAUGGGGAUAGACUUUUGCAAUUUUUGGUCUUCAACGAGGAAUUCCUAGUAAACGCGAGUCACCAGCUCGCAUUGAUUACGUCCCUGCCCUUUGUACACACCGCCCGUCGCACCUACCGAUUGGAUGGUCCGAUGAGGCCUCCGGACUCGGACCUGCUCUCCGUCAGGGGACUGGACCGGGGAAGUUGGUCAAAUCUUACCAUCUAGAGGAAGGUGAAGUCGUAACA